AACAGGUUACAUUACACUAAAUCAUUGUGUAUCCCUCCGUGGUCCAUUCGAAAGUAGUGCCUAUUUCUAAAGAGUUCCUUUUCUCUUCUUGAAUAUAAGCCAUUUAACAAUGUGAGACAUGUCUUUUGUGGUUAUUUGUAAUAUCCUGUAUGUGUCUGGAGUACUUUGAUGCCUUGGAUUGGAAGCUAACUUAAAAGAUGAACUUUUGAGGGUGUGUUUUCUAUUGUGUGGGGCUUUUGUCGAAAUUAGGAUUCCGAAACGCGUUUUUCUACGGUGGGUUCAUUCGACAGCGAUUUACUUUCUUAGAAGUUGCGAGACGGUAUGUUUUUGAUUGCAAUUAUUGGAAGAUGACAGAUCCAUCUUUAAAAUGAUACCAGGUUCGGAAAAAUUGAUACGACGGAAAGGCAAGAAAAAUGCUGUGAAAGUUGUCAGUUUUAUAAUGGGACCCUAUGGGAAUCGGAAUUAGUGUAAUAUAACCUUUAAAAAGCACAUUUACUGCAAUGUCAAGGUCACAUGGAUUCGUCUGCAAGCGAGACAAGUAGAAAAUGAAUUUUAAUGAAUGUUUUGAUGAUUUGGGUGCUAAAAUAGAUGAGAGAUGUAAAUAUUUUGGUCCAAAUGGAUGUUUUAGGUGGUUUUGGACUGUUCCGGAUGGGUGGGGGACCUGGUAUGGACAAGUAAGGGUAACAUUUCCAACAAAUCUUAAAUGUAAAUAUUAUUAUGUCCAUAGAUUGAAGUUUCAGGUGGAGAGCAAGAUGAAAAAUAUGCCAAAUUACAUGCAUGCAGCCCAUUUAUGCCAUUUUUCUCUUUGUUUGCAGGCCUGACCGUUUGUCCUUGAGCCGUAGUUGGUUAACAAUCCGCUAGCUGUCUUGCUCUGACUGGUGCACUGGACAUGAUUUCAAUUGUCAGCCAGACCAUGAUUGAGCUUAAGGAUUGUGCUGCGGAUGCAGCCUGUGCAGUUCCGGGAGAAAGUCACUGUCUUGGGCAAUGCGGUCUGGUAUCAGGUCUGGAUGAUCCUUGCCUGACUGCGGGUUUGUGUACACCUCAAUCCGACUCUGUGUCCUGAACAGAGGCCGCAGUGGUGCAGCGCUUGUGGACGAUCCAUCAACAUCCUGAAAGGUCAACACUACACCAAGCUGGGAAAAUUGAUCCUGAUAGUCAUCCCCAGGCCUGACCGUUUGUCCUUGAGCCGUAGUUGGUUAACAAUCCGCUAGCUGUCUUGCUCUGACUGGUGCACUGGACAUGAUUUCAAUUGUCAGCCAGACCAUGAUUGAGCUUAAGGAUUGUGCUGCGGAUGCAGCCUGUGCAGUUCCGGGAGAAAGUCACUGUCUUGGGCAAUGCGGUCUGGUAUCAGGUCUGGAUGAUCCUUGCCUGACUGCGGGUUUGUGUACACCUCAAUCCGACUCUGUGUCCUGAACAGAGGCCGCAGUGGUGCAGCGCUUGUGGACGAUCCAUCAACAUCCUGAAAGGUCAACACUACACCAAGCUGGGAAAAUUGAUCCUGAUAGUCAUCCCCAGGCCUGACCGUUUGUCCUUGAGCCGUAGUUGGUUAACAAUCCGCUAGCUGUCUUGCUCUGACUGGUGCACUGGACAUGAUUUCAAUUGUCAGCCAGACCAUGAUUGAGCUUAAGGAUUGUGCUGCGGAUGCAGCCUGUGCAGUUCCGGGAGAAAGUCACUGUCUUGGGCAAUGCGGUCUGGUAUCAGGUCUGGAUGAUCCUUGCCUGACUGCGGGUUUGUGUACACCUCAAUCCGACUCUGUGUCCUGAACAGAGGCCGCAGUGGUGCAGCGCUUGUGGACGAUCCAUCAACAUCCUGAAAGGUCAACACUACACCAAGCUGGGAAAAUUGAUCCUGAUAGUCAUCCCCAGGCCUGACCGUUUGUCCUUGAGCCGUAGUUGGUUAACAAUCCGCUAGCUGUCUUGCUCUGACUGGUGCACUGGACAUGAUUUCAAUUGUCAGCCAGACCAUGAUUGAGCUUAAGGAUUGUGCUGCGGAUGCAGCCUGUGCAGUUCCGGGAGAAAGUCACUGUCUUGGGCAAUGCGGUCUGGUAUCAGGUCUGGAUGAUCCUUGCCUGACUGCGGGUUUGUGUACACCUCAAUCCGACUCUGUGUCCUGAACAGAGGCCGCAGUGGUGCAGCGCUUGUGGACGAUCCAUCAACAUCCUGAAAGGUCAACACUACACCAAGCUGGGAAAAUUGAUCCUGAUAGUCAUCCCCAGGCCUGACCGUUUGUCCUUGAGCCGUAGUUGGUUAACAAUCCGCUAGCUGUCUUGCUCUGACUGGUGCACUGGACAUGAUUUCAAUUGUCAGCCAGACCAUGAUUGAGCUUAAGGAUUGUGCUGCGGAUGCAGCCUGUGCAGUUCCGGGAGAAAGUCACUGUCUUGGGCAAUGCGGUCUGGUAUCAGGUCUGGAUGAUCCUUGCCUGACUGCGGGUUUGUGUACACCUCAAUCCGACUCUGUGUCCUGAACAGAGGCCGCAGUGGUGCAGCGCUUGUGGACGAUCCAUCAACAUCCUGAAAGGUCAACACUACACCAAGCUGGGAAAAUUGAUCCUGAUAGUCAUCCCCAGGCCUGACCGUUUGUCCUUGAGCCGUAGUUGGUUAACAAUCCGCUAGCUGUCUUGCUCUGACUGGUGCACUGGACAUGAUUUCAAUUGUCAGCCAGACCAUGAUUGAGCUUAAGGAUUGUGCUGCGGAUGCAGCCUGUGCAGUUCCGGGAGAAAGUCACUGUCUUGGGCAAUGCGGUCUGGUAUCAGGUCUGGAUGAUCCUUGCCUGACUGCGGGUUUGUGUACACCUCAAUCCGACUCUGUGUCCUGAACAGAGGCCGCAGUGGUGCAGCGCUUGUGGACGAUCCAUCAACAUCCUGAAAGGUCAACACUACACCAAGCUGGGAAAAUUGAUCCUGAUAGUCAUCCCCAGGCCUGACCGUUUGUCCUUGAGCCGUAGUUGGUUAACAAUCCGCUAGCUGUCUUGCUCUGACUGGUGCACUGGACAUGAUUUCAAUUGUCAGCCAGACCAUGAUUGAGCUUAAGGAUUGUGCUGCGGAUGCAGCCUGUGCAGUUCCGGGAGAAAGUCACUGUCUUGGGCAAUGCGGUCUGGUAUCAGGUCUGGAUGAUCCUUGCCUGACUGCGGGUUUGUGUACACCUCAAUCCGACUCUGUGUCCUGAACAGAGGCCGCAGUGGUGCAGCGCUUGUGGACGAUCCAUCAACAUCCUGAAAGGUCAACACUACACCAAGCUGGGAAAAUUGAUCCUGAUAGUCAUCCCCAGGCCUGACCGUUUGUCCUUGAGCCGUAGUUGGUUAACAAUCCGCUAGCUGUCUUGCUCUGACUGGUGCACUGGACAUGAUUUCAAUUGUCAGCCAGACCAUGAUUGAGCUUAAGGAUUGUGCUGCGGAUGCAGCCUGUGCAGUUCCGGGAGAAAGUCACUGUCUUGGGCAAUGCGGUCUGGUAUCAGGUCUGGAUGAUCCUUGCCUGACUGCGGGUUUGUGUACACCUCAAUCCGACUCUGUGUCCUGAACAGAGGCCGCAGUGGUGCAGCGCUUGUGGACGAUCCAUCAACAUCCUGAAAGGUCAACACUACACCAAGCUGGGAAAAUUGAUCCUGAUAGUCAUCCCCAGGCCUGACCGUUUGUCCUUGAGCCGUAGUUGGUUAACAAUCCGCUAGCUGUCUUGCUCUGACUGGUGCACUGGACAUGAUUUCAAUUGUCAGCCAGACCAUGAUUGAGCUUAAGGAUUGUGCUGCGGAUGCAGCCUGUGCAGUUCCGGGAGAAAGUCACUGUCUUGGGCAAUGCGGUCUGGUAUCAGGUCUGGAUGAUCCUUGCCUGACUGCGGGUUUGUGUACACCUCAAUCCGACUCUGUGUCCUGAACAGAGGCCGCAGUGGUGCAGCGCUUGUGGACGAUCCAUCAACAUCCUGAAAGGUCAACACUACACCAAGCUGGGAAAAUUGAUCCUGAUAGUCAUCCCCAGGCCUGACCGUUUGUCCUUGAGCCGUAGUUGGUUAACAAUCCGCUAGCUGUCUUGCUCUGACUGGUGCACUGGACAUGAUUUCAAUUGUCAGCCAGACCAUGAUUGAGCUUAAGGAUUGUGCUGCGGAUGCAGCCUGUGCAGUUCCGGGAGAAAGUCACUGUCUUGGGCAAUGCGGUCUGGUAUCAGGUCUGGAUGAUCCUUGCCUGACUGCGGGUUUGUGUACACCUCAAUCCGACUCUGUGUCCUGAACAGAGGCCGCAGUGGUGCAGCGCUUGUGGACGAUCCAUCAACAUCCUGAAAGGUCAACACUACACCAAGCUGGGAAAAUUGAUCCUGAUAGUCAUCCCCAGGCCUGACCGUUUGUCCUUGAGCCGUAGUUGGUUAACAAUCCGCUAGCUGUCUUGCUCUGACUGGUGCACUGGACAUGAUUUCAAUUGUCAGCCAGACCAUGAUUGAGCUUAAGGAUUGUGCUGCGGAUGCAGCCUGUGCAGUUCCGGGAGAAAGUCACUGUCUUGGGCAAUGCGGUCUGGUAUCAGGUCUGGAUGAUCCUUGCCUGACUGCGGGUUUGUGUACACCUCAAUCCGACUCUGUGUCCUGAACAGAGGCCGCAGUGGUGCAGCGCUUGUGGACGAUCCAUCAACAUCCUGAAAGGUCAACACUACACCAAGCUGGGAAAAUUGAUCCUGAUAGUCAUCCCCAGGUAGUGGAAUGAAUGUACACUGAACUACAGAGGAAUCACACCCAAAUGACUUUCCUGCCACGACAUUAGUGUGGCCACUCGCGUAGGAAUUCCUUAGCAAACGUGCUCUUUUGCAUGGUGACUGUGGGCAUUUUUGCAAAACUUACGCUUUCAACACUGGAUUUUAAAGAGAAUACUUAAUAAAAUGUCGCUAACAGGACUUAUUUAUAUGAGAGAGACUAUCUGGAUGCGCAUUAAGUGUCACUUUGUGUCGUAAGCUGUUGAAGGAGCGAUUUGCGCCUUUUUAAGUGUUAAUUUUGGGUAGCCGGCUUGUAUCGGCUUGAAAGCUACAAAUUAUGCCUCUCAUCAUAAUAGCA
Molecule: long non-coding RNA, 5021 nt
Organism: Dreissena polymorpha
Lineage: Eukaryota; Metazoa; Mollusca; Bivalvia; Myida; Dreissenidae
Exons: 33
Source: RefSeq, a predicted model, not a curated record